Schistocerca americana (American grasshopper) is the source of this 73-nucleotide non-coding RNA. The record is from the annotation of a RefSeq genome assembly. NCBI's taxonomy places the organism in Eukaryota, Metazoa, Arthropoda, Insecta, Orthoptera, Acrididae.
ACUACGGUGGUGUAAUGGUUAGCAUUUUUGCCUAGGAAGCGAAAAGACCCGGGUUCGAGUCCCAGCUGCAGUA